Molecule: ribosomal RNA, 492 nt
Filed under: uncultured bacterium
Lineage: Bacteria
Description: bacterial SSU rRNA
Rfam family: Bacterial small subunit ribosomal RNA
Source: RNAcentral
GAUGAACGCUAGCUACAGGCUUAACACAUGCAAGUCGAGGGGAAACGACAUCGAAAGCUUGCUUUUGGUGGGCGUCGACCGGCGCACGGGUGAGUAAUGCGUAUCCAACCUGCCCACCACUUGGGGAUAACCUUGCGAAAGUAAGACUAAUACCCAAUGAUAUCCCACGAAGGCAUCCGAAUGGGAUUAAAGAUUUAUCGGUGAUGGAUGGGGAUGCGUCUGAUUAGCUUGUUGGCGGGGUAACGGCCCACCAAGGCUACGAUCAGUAGGGGUUCUGAGAGGAAGGUCCCCCACAUUGGAACUGAGACACGGUCCAAACUCCUACGGGAGGCAGCAGUGAGGAAUAUUGGUCAAUGGGCGAGAGCCUGAACCAGCCAAGUAGCGUGCAGGACGACGGCCCUAUGGGUUGUAAACUGCUUUUAUAAGGGAAUAAAGUGAGUCUCGUGAGACUUUUUGCAUGUACCUUAUGAAUAAGGACCGGCUAAUUCCGUG